ACAAUGCGCGGAAGCGCGAUGGGGGGAUUCCAAGUGCGUGCACUAUGUGUACGCCGUUUACUAGUCUAAAACGCUAGUAGAGCAAGGGCCGGGCAAGACCGGUGCCAGCCGCCGCGGUAACACCGGCGGCCCGAGUGGUAAUCAUUUUUAUUGGGUCUAAAGGGUCCGUAGCCGGUUUGAUCAGUUCUUCGGGAAAUCUGACAGCUCAACUGUUAGGCUUCCGGGGGAUACUGUCAGACUUGGGACCGGGAGAGGUAAGAGGUACUACAGGGGUAGGAGUGAAAUCUUGUAAUCCCUGUGGGACCACCAGUGGCGAAGGCGUCUUACCAGAACGGGUCCGACGGUGAGGGACGAAAGCUGGGGGCGCGAACCGGAUUAGAUACCCGGGUAGUCCCAGCCGUAAACGAUGUUCGCUAGGUGUCAGGGACGGUGCGACCGUUUCUGGUGCCGUAGGGAAGCCGCGAAGCGAACCACCUGGGAAGUACGGCCGCAAGGCUGAAACUUAA
Molecule: ribosomal RNA, 506 nt
Filed under: uncultured archaeon
Lineage: Archaea
Description: bacterial SSU rRNA
Rfam family: Archaeal small subunit ribosomal RNA
Source: RNAcentral